RNAcentral lists this ribosomal RNA (616 nucleotides) under Anaerolineae bacterium. RNAcentral describes it as "partial 23S ribosomal RNA". It matches the Rfam family "Bacterial large subunit ribosomal RNA", at positions 1 to 571 of the family's 2925-position model. The record is from RNAcentral. Lineage: Bacteria; Bacillati; Chloroflexota; Anaerolineae.
AAUUAAGCUACUAAGGGCGUACGGUGGAUGCCUUGGCGCCAAGGGCCGAUGAAGGGCGUGGUACACUGCGAUAAGCCUCGGGGAGCCGUGUGCAGGCGUUAUAUCCGGGGAUGCCCGAAUGGGGAAACCCGCCUGGGGGAAUGCCCAGGCACCGCUGGCUGAACACAUAGGCCAGACGGGGGGCACGCGGGGAACUGAAACAUCUUAGUACCCGCAGGAAGAGAAAUCAAAAGAGAUUCCCUAAGUAGUGGCGAGCGAACGGGGAAGAGCCCAAACUCAUCUCGUGCUAAAGGCUGCAGCCGUUGCGAGAUGGGGGUUGUAAGGCACGGCCGGGGUCACUGCAGGGGCCCCAGGGAGUUACAAAUCUGGCCUCUAGCCGAACUACGCUGGAAAGGUAGGGCAUAGAGGGUGAUACCCCCGUAGGCGAAAGGGGACCAGACUCCCGCCGUUGACCUUGAGUACCACGGGGCACGCUAAUCCUGUGGGAAGCAGGGAGGCCCACCUCCCAAGGCUAAAUACCCUUGGCGACCGAUAGCGGACAAGUACCGUGAGGGAAAGGUGAAAAGAACCCCUGUUCGGGGAGUGAAAUAGAACCUGAAACCGUAUGCCUACAAGC